GAUGAACGCUGGCGGCGUGCCUAAUACAUGCAAGUCGAGCGAACGGACGAGAAUAUUCCUGCUGGGAUGUUAGCGGCGGACGGGGGAGUAAUACGUGGAUACCCUACCUAUAAGACUGGCAUAAGGUCGGGAAACCUGAGCUAAUAUCGGAUGAUAUUUUGAACCGCAGGGUUCGAAAGUGAUAGACGGUCUUGCUGUCACGUAUACAUGGAUCCGCGCUGCAUUAGCUAGUUGGUAAGGUAACGGCUUACCAAAGCAACGAUGCAUAGACGGCCUGAGAGGGUGAUCGGCCACACUGGAACUGAGACACGGUCCAGACUCCUACGGGAGGCAGCAGUAGGGAAUAUUCCGCAAUGGGCGCAAGCCUGACCGAGCAACGCCGCGUGAGUGAUGAAGGUCUUCGGAUCGUAAAACUCUGUUAUUCGGGAAGAACAUAUGUGUACGUAACUGUGCACAUCUUGACGGUACCUAAUCAGAAAGCCACGGCUAACUACGUG
This 497-nucleotide ribosomal RNA is filed under the name uncultured bacterium. Its description in RNAcentral is "partial 16S ribosomal RNA". It matches the Rfam family "Bacterial small subunit ribosomal RNA", at positions 28 to 507 of the family's 1533-position model. The record is from RNAcentral.